This 76-nucleotide transfer RNA is filed under the name Methylotenera sp. Its description in RNAcentral is "tRNA-Lys". It matches the Rfam family "tRNA". Rfam says of the family: Transfer RNA (tRNA) molecules are approximately 80 nucleotides in length. Their secondary structure includes four short double-helical elements and three loops (D, anti-codon, and T loops). Lineage: Bacteria; Pseudomonadati; Pseudomonadota; Betaproteobacteria; Nitrosomonadales; Methylophilaceae. The record is from RNAcentral.
GGGAGAUUAGCUCAGUUGGUAGAGCAGUGGACUCUUAAUCCAUUUGUCGGGGGUUCGAACCCCCCAUCUCCUACCA